Molecule: RNA transcript, 2265 nt
Organism: Ipomoea triloba (trilobed morning glory)
Lineage: Eukaryota; Viridiplantae; Streptophyta; Magnoliopsida; Solanales; Convolvulaceae
Gene name: protein phosphatase 1 regulatory inhibitor subunit PPP1R8 homolog
Exons: 4
Source: RefSeq, a predicted model, not a curated record
UACCUACAUAAUGGCACAAUGAUACAACCUCUCUCUCUUUACGCCUCGUCUCUCUCUAUUCAAUACAAUCGUACGAGCUUCAACUGCAGAUAAACCCUAAUCAGAGAAUAGAACCCGAAAUCAGGAGAAAAGAGCUUCAAUCUUUGUUCAAAGGGGGUGUUAUUUUUUGGAAAACACAAUAGUUUUGUUUGUGUGCUGGUGAUGUAAAUGCAAUAAAGAGGAGGCAUUGUGUCAAGUUCCUAACGUCCUGGGCAGCCAGCUGAAUUUGUUCCAAAAAGACAACCAAAAAAAUGUAUGGAAGAACAGGUCUUGAUCGCUUUAAGAAAGCUCAAACUUUAGAACCAUUCUCAGUAGGUGCAAAUUCAGCUUCUAAGACAAACAUACAGCCAGCUACAAAAGCAGCCAUCCAACCUUCGACGACGCAUCCUACAUCCCAAAUAUCAUACCACCAAACUCAGUACACAAAUCUACAUCCCUCUUCCCAGAAAUCAGUGGAGACAAAUGUACUUCCUGUGGUGCCAACUCAACAAGUGACUCAAGUUGGAGGAGGCCAAUCAACAUGGCAGCCACCUGAUUGGGCUAUUGAGCCCCGACCAGGGGUUUAUUAUCUUGAAGUCAUCAAGGAUGGUGAAGUACUUGAUCGCAUUAAUUUGGAUAAGCGUAGGCACAUCUUUGGACGCCAGUUUCAUGCUUGUGAUUUUGUUCUUGAUCAUCAGUCUGUCUCACGCCAACAUGCUGCUGUUGUUCCACACAAAAACGGAAGCAUAUAUGUAAUUGAUUUGGGAUCUGCACAUGGCACAUUUGUUGCAAAUGAGAGACUGACAAAGGAUUCCCCUGUGGAACUUGAGGCUGGACAGUCUUUGAAGUUUGCUGCAUCAACAAGGACCUAUAUCCUGAGAAAGAACAAUGCCGCUCUCUUUCCUCCACCACAACCUGCAGAAAUUGAUCUGCCCCCACCUCCCAAUCCAACAGAUGAGGAAGCUGUUUUGGCUUAUAACACAUAUCUAAAUCGUUUUGGGCUUAUGAAACCAGGUACAGCGUCUAAAGUUUCAAAGUCAAGUAUGGGGACAGAUGACAAUUCCAUCUCUGAAAGAGCUGCUAAGAGAGUUAGGAGAACUAGAGUGGCAUUUAGAGAUCAGGUUGGAGGAGAGCUGGUUGAAGUGGUUGGAAUCUCAGAUGGAGCAGAUGUGGAAACAGAACCUGGGCCGGUUGGAGUGAAAGAAGGAAGUCUAGUUGGAAAGUAUGAAUCCCUUGUACAAAUUACUGUUAUUCCCAAAGGGAGGGAGCAGUCCUCUGCAAAGGAUUCCACUGUUUCACAAACAGGUGUCACUGAAAAACUUAAACAAGUAUUGAACAAGGUUAAAACUCCUCCAAAAGGUGGAAUAUAUGACGAUAUUUAUGGAGAAUCAAUUUCUGGUAAAGUCGGUUCCUCUUGGGCUUUUACCACUAAUGAUCAAGCUCCCUCAACCAAUGAUCCAAAUGCAGAAUCUCCUGCUUCUUUGCCUAUAAGUAAGUCUAGCAAUGACGAUGAUGAUACGGAUGAUUUAUUUGGCUAGGCAUAUGCUUUCCUUGGUUGCAAGUGUUGAUCAGUACUCCACAAGUUAAGGGCAUGCAUUUCUUAGAAAACAUGCCAGGUAAAUGCAAAUUUUGUUGUACUUCAUCAUAUUAUUCUUUUCCUGGCUGUGCAUUGGAGGAUUGAACUAUAACCAUCUGUCUGUCAAAAUGAAAUGGAAAAAGAUGUCUGUUAAUGUUUGUUCUCUAUUCUUAACUGAUUGAGCAUUUUAAAAGGCUACAUCAAAUUGUGGUAAAGAUCAUUUGCAAAGAUUCACUUCCAGUUGUCAGGAACAAUUAUUUGAUAGAAGUGGCUACAAUCACCAGAACAAGAAGCAGCGCUGUGUCUGUCUUUUCCCUGUUAGUUUUGUUCAGAAGGCACAAAGGUAAGUAGACAUGAGAUUUUGGAUAAGACAAUUGAAUUACCAAAUUCAGUCCAUGGAAUGAGACAUCUUGAGCAAUGAGCCAUGUCAAAAGAACAUGAAGGGAAAGGAAGGCGUAGUGUUGAAAUGAUUCCAAGAAUUGCAGGAAUUCCACGCUCCAAAGCGAACUGAACCUGGGCCUCAUGGUUAUCUCUUGGUGCAAAAAAAAAAAACCGUAAGAAUCUCACGAUCUAGUAAAUUCCCUCCCCAGCUUGCAACCUAGACAUUAGAAGACCAUUCUUUAUACUGUAUGACACACAUUUAUUAUAAGUAUGACACACAUUUCUUUUAA